GCAAAACACCAGUUUUUGUUUGAUCACUGAAGUUAAGCAACAUUGAGCCUGGUCAGUACUUAGAUGGGUCACUGUUUUGGAAUCCCAGGUGCUGUCAG
Acanthosepion pharaonis is the source of this 98-nucleotide non-coding RNA. The record is from the annotation of a GenBank genome assembly. Lineage: Eukaryota; Metazoa; Mollusca; Cephalopoda; Sepiida; Sepiidae.